AAAAGGAAAUUUCUGAAAAUGGUUCAUAUUUUGUGGUGGCGACAUUGGAGGAGGUGUCCUAGCCUUCUGAGGCUGUAGCCUAUCUGACUAGUCUCAUGGAUCAAAUCUAUUGUUGUUUUUAUCCCCCUUAGGGAAAAUUUUAGUGAUUUGAGAAGGAAUAUAAAUAGGUCAGUGUCUCCUUCUGUUACAGUUGCCGCUUUCAAUCCUAACAGGGACUGAUCCUGCCUGGGAGAAACAAAAAUAAUCUUGGGGGAAAUAUUUAAUCCAUCAUUAUUUAAUCCAUUGCAAAUCUGUUUUCAAUUCACAGGUGAUGUUGUUGAGAGAGAACAUAUUCAAUCACUCCUCUCUCUCUUUACAUGGAACUUCCCUUCUAAACUGCAACUGGAGAGCUACAGGUCUGGUAACAUUGGAAGGGCACAGGCCUUUCCAAAUGACAUUCCCCAUCCCACCCCCAGGUUUCCUGCAGUUGUUGUCAGAGUACAAACCUUCUUCCACACUUUAUACAAGUGUUUAGACACUUCGCCAGCAGCCUUGGUUUUCAGAGAGAAAAAUAAAAUAAAAACAGCACUUAAUUAAAAUGGAGCGUGAAAACCCAGAAGGAAUCAUGGUGUGUGAGUGCUUAGAGUGUUACAGUUCCCACCCAUUGUUUGGAAUUUGCAUCUUAAUUCAAUAUAAAGCCUGACAAUAGGUACAGCAAAGAGACGAAUCAAGACUUGGGUCUCAUGGAAGUUACCUGGUGCCAACAUCCCACGCACCAUUGUGGAGACUGGCUGGAUGCCUUGUGCUCUAUCAGGGUAUGUCAGACCAACAGAGGGGCAAAUCAGAGUGAAGAGGAAGCCAGAAGAUGGGAGAGACGUUUUUGAAGAAACAAGCUGCCAAUAAUGUCUGCAAAAAGUGAAUUCUUCCAACAACUACAUGAGCUUGGAAGAGGACCUUGAACCUAGAAUGAGACUGUAGCAGCCCCAGCCAACACCCUUCUCAGCUUUGUGAGACCCUGAGCAGAGAACACAGCAAACUUGUCCAGACUUCUCAUCUACAGAAACUGAGAUAGUAAAUGGUUGUUGUUUUAACCUC
This 1074-nucleotide small RNA is filed under the name Pongo abelii (Sumatran orangutan). RNAcentral describes it as "processed transcript". The record is from RNAcentral. Lineage: Eukaryota; Metazoa; Chordata; Mammalia; Primates; Hominidae.